Strongylocentrotus purpuratus (purple sea urchin) is the source of this 139-nucleotide long non-coding RNA. RefSeq lists it as uncharacterized. Lineage: Eukaryota; Metazoa; Echinodermata; Echinoidea; Camarodonta; Strongylocentrotidae. The transcript is spliced from 3 exons. The record is from RefSeq and is a predicted model, not a curated record.
GCCAAAGGUGACCUAAUAAACAGCAUAGCAACAAUGGACCCUAGCUUCAGAAGCAACAGAUCGUGUUCCACAGGAGAGGAAGAACACCAAAGUGAUCUAGCAAGAACAGAAAGGAGAGGAGUUAAGCGUGAAGAUAACC